This 243-nucleotide ribosomal RNA is filed under the name Acanthamoeba sp. FsP2m. RNAcentral describes it as "partial 18S ribosomal RNA". It matches the Rfam family "Eukaryotic small subunit ribosomal RNA", at positions 937 to 1096 of the family's 1831-position model. The record is from RNAcentral. Lineage: Eukaryota; Discosea; Longamoebia; Acanthamoebidae.
GUUACUCUGCGAAAGCAUCUGCCAGGAUGUUUUCAUUAAUCAAGAACGAAAGUUAGGGGAUCGAAGACGAUCAGAUACCGUCGUAGUCUUAACCAUAAACGAUGCCGACCAGCGAUUAGGAGACGUUGAAUACAAAACACCACCAUCGGCGCGGUCGUCCUUGGCGUUCGUGUUCACGCACGAGCGCGAGGGCGGUUUAGCCCGAUGGCACCGGUGAAUGACUCCCCUAGCAGCUUGUGAGAA